This 453-nucleotide ribosomal RNA is filed under the name uncultured Streptococcus sp. RNAcentral describes it as "bacterial SSU rRNA". It matches the Rfam family "Bacterial small subunit ribosomal RNA", at positions 925 to 1382 of the family's 1533-position model. Lineage: Bacteria; Bacillati; Bacillota; Bacilli; Lactobacillales; Streptococcaceae. The record is from RNAcentral.
ACAAGCGGUGGAUCAUGUUGUUUAAUUCGAUGAUACGCGAAGAACCUUUACCAGGUCUUGACAUCCCCUGCAAAGCUAUGGAGACAUAGUGGAGGUUAUCAGGGAGACAGGUGGUGCAUGGUUGUCGUCAGCUCGUGUCGUGAGAUGUUGGGUUAAGUCCCGCAACGAGCGCAACCCCUAUUGUUAGUUGCCAUCAUUCAGUUGGGCACUCUAGCGAGACUGCCGGUAAUAAACCGGAGGAAGGUGGGGAUGACGUCAAAUCAUCAUGCCCCUUAUGACCUGGGCUACACACGUGCUACAAUGGUUGGUACAACGAGUUGCGAGUCGGUGACGGCGAGCUAAUCUCUUAAAGCCAAUCUCAGUUCGGAUUGUAGGCUGCAACUCGCCUACAUGAAGUCGGAAUCGCUAGUAAUCGCGGAUCAGCACGCCGCGGUGAAUACGUUCCCGGGCCUU